AUAAAAUAAAAUAAAAUAAAACCGACCAAACUCAAAGUCUGAUCAUCUCUGUAUGCGUUGGAUAAGGCCAGAAGGGAUGGCCCGAGGAUGCUCGCCGCUUGCGUCAAGUUUGGGGAUGCUUCGUGUGCCUGAAAGCUUGGGGUGACUCGGGGACCUGACCCACAGCCACCCCGGGGCUUCUACGGGGAAGGUUUGAGCGUGACGAGGGCCGGACACGGCCGUGUGUGCGCUCUGCCUUCAAGGAGACGUCAGCCUGUGAGCGGACGCACGGUGCUGGUGGCGUUUUGGAGGGCCAGCACCCAUUUCUCGGCAGAAAUCGCGGCGCUGGUUGGCUGGCCCGCUCCCUUUUUCCCAGGCUGUGUGAGAGCAUCGCGAGCCCUGAGGUACUUGGCUACGGGAGGUUUUCUGCUCUGGAAUUGGCAGCUGCUCACUCCGGAAGAGAAUCAGCAUAUUUGGCUACUGACUGCAAAGGAAAAGGGAAAAACCAUUAUUAUUUCUUUUUCAUUUUGCUUUUUAAGCUAUCCGGUGGGAGACAUUGUCUGCGUUUGGGUGACCCUCAUUACUAAGGCAUUGCUAAGGCUUCCCUCCUCUGCCCUUCGCCUAAAAGCAGAAAAGGAAAAAAAAUAUAUAUUCAGUUCUCCAAAACGCAUAUAUUCGCCUUGGCCGGAUUUGGAGCCGGCCGGUGCCAAGCAUCCAGCAUCAGGCCUUACACAGCAGUAGAUUCAACGUCACGGCUCCAUGAGUCAGGGUUUUCUGUCUGAAAAGCCUCCACGUCAAGAAACCCGGGACAAAAAUUCCCUCUAGCCCAGCAACAGAGCCUGCUGUGUAGGAAGCUCUGUUAGGAAAGAGAGCUCGAUGCGCGAGUCAGAUAUUUCAGCCUGGGCACCCUUCCACGGCGCACAAAGGACGCACUCAGCCAGGCUCAAUGGGGCCGCUCAUGACUCAAGUGCUGCGAUCAUCGCCACGGGAGUGCCGGGUCACACCGCUCUUUUGGACCUGCAAAGCCCCCGUGGCCUCGUACAGGAUGCCGAGGAGCUGGGCACGGGCAGAUAUUUUCCAUCUCUGCACUGAGGAGGCUUCGCACCUUCCGCUGGAGCAUCUGGCGUUGGUUACUGCCCGAGGCAGAGCCUGGCUGCGGGGGCUCUGGGUCUGAUCUGGCAAUUCCUGCGGUCCUUUGAUCGUAAAAAAAAAAAUAAUAAAGGGUUAGCCACCACUUGCUGGUGCAACAGGGA
Molecule: non-coding RNA, 1232 nt
Organism: Anas platyrhynchos (mallard)
Lineage: Eukaryota; Metazoa; Chordata; Aves; Anseriformes; Anatidae
Source: RefSeq, a predicted model, not a curated record